UAUAAAAGAGAAGCAGAAAACACUGUACAUUGAACAGUGUUCUGCUUCUCCCUUAUAAGCCCUUUCAGUCAAAUACUGCAGUGUUUAGGAACGAUUGGUCCAUUUCUGUCAUUUCCGUUAUAAUUACACCUCCACCCUUUUACUCUACACUUUGCAUUAAUUUAAAAGGUACAUUUUGGUCUUUUACUUCUUUUAAAAAAGGUCAAGUGCAUUUAACAAGUCACGUGCGGUUUUAAAAUUUACAUCAAAGAAGCUGCUUAUUGAAGAAGCACCUUCUCGAGUAAGUUAUGUCAUCCAACGCUUUUCAAUUAGCUAUGUUUACAGCUGUAAAUUGGCUCAUGUGGCAGCUUUCUGUCCAUACUUUCUACUACCGUCAUUCCAUCUUUGCCCCUGCAACAAAAACAGUAUAUAAAUCAGUGUUUGGGAAAGAUGGUAAACCAAUUUCAAUUCUCACCCAUCUAUUGUUUACUAAUGGAGCUUAUUUAAUUUGAUUCAGUUGCAAGAUACAAGCAUUCAAACGAUGGAAAUUUGUUCAACCUACAUGGACUAACGUUGAAGCUGAACUAAAAUCCAGUUAUUCAUUUUUUUCCAGGACACACAAGGGGCAGUUUAUGCUUUACCAUAAUCCUUGCACAAGAAAAGGAAAAUCACUGAAACUUAACCACGGGUAGAUGAAAACAUGGUGAAUGGACGGCUCAUCUCCGUUGAGGCAUGCAUGAGUCGCACGUGGUGCGAAUCCAACACCAAAUAACAUAACGGGACUAACAGGGUUCAAGACAUCGGUAUUUUGCUCUUCAUUUGAAACGAUUGCGUUUUACCGAAAAUCAUUACCGUUUUACUCUACGAUUGCGUUUUACAUGGGCCGGUUCGCAGCCCAUGAAACGCAGGCAUGUUUACACUCAAGUCAGUCUGUUUCUCACAUUACCUAAUAUCCAGCCCAUAAUGCAUAAAUACAUGAUACAUACUUUAAUUUAAUAAUACAUUUCCAAUUUUCUCAUAAUAAAAUUUAUUUUUUCACUUUAAUAAUUUCAAAUAAAAAUAAAAAUUAAAUAUAUACAUACUGUACUCUGACACAAUUUAAAAUAUAGAUUUAAAGACAACACAAUUUAUCGCAUAAUUAGCAAUUACCAAUUCUUAAUGUUUACAUUAAAACUGUGGAUUUAUUAGUUAUGUUUUUUUUUAUAUUUAAAUUUGUGUUUUUUCUGUGUAGAUGUUUUUUUCUUUACUAAAACCCAUAUGGGUAUAUUUUUGCACCUUUUUCUUUUCUUAUUUCACUAAAUCUUUAUUUUUACUAUCUAUUUUUAUGGCUUAAUAUCUUAAAUACAAAUUUUUUUGAAGUGAGAUUAAUCCUAUCAAAGACUUUAAAAAUAGUGACUUUAAUCAAUUUUCAAUAAGUAUUGUUCUAAAAAAAUACCAAAUAUAAUAUUUUUAAUUCUACACACACACACACACACACACAC
Molecule: long non-coding RNA, 1460 nt
Organism: Mercurialis annua (annual mercury)
Lineage: Eukaryota; Viridiplantae; Streptophyta; Magnoliopsida; Malpighiales; Euphorbiaceae
Exons: 3
Source: RefSeq, a predicted model, not a curated record